Molecule: long non-coding RNA, 1836 nt
Organism: Ostrea edulis (European flat oyster)
Lineage: Eukaryota; Metazoa; Mollusca; Bivalvia; Ostreida; Ostreidae
Exons: 4
Source: RefSeq, a predicted model, not a curated record
CCGGGUACAACAACAUUUGCAACAUAUACAGUCAUAACAGCAAGUCCGCUCUAAUAUGUAAUUUGGAGUAUUGUUUUGCGAUCGGCUGCACACACGAGAUUGGGAAAACUCAGCCAUGUAGUUUAUUUAGGUUCCUAGUCGAUGCUACAGUAAGGAAGCGGUGGAUACAAAGAUGUAGACACAAAGUUACGAAUCCUGCUCAAGCAGAAGCAUCUGCUUCAAACGUACAUGUAGAAACCGAAGUUGAUAAUGCUACCAAUAUAUCUGUACCAGACAACAAUGAAGUGCAUCUAAAUGAUCACGAGUAUACGGCAUCAAGUCCUCAACAUUUAAAAAGCUUCCCUUGAAGACUAGGAUGUUGUAAACUUGCAGUGGGAAAUAUACCUGCUUAAUUAAAGGAAACCAUCCAUGACAAUUGGGAACAUCAUAAUUGAAAGACCCUGGGAAGGGAUCAUGAACACUGUUGGGAGUGUCCAUUCAACUGAAAUACCAAAGUAAGAAGAAUUGAAGAUUGCAAUGGAUGCAACAGAAGUGACCUAAUGUGACCAAAUUGAUAUGAAUAGCCAGUCUUUCGCUCUCAGUAAUUAUAAAAGUCGCCACAAAGAAAAGACUUUUAAUAUGUAUUACACCUAAUGCAGCUCUUUUCCAAUUUUUAUGCUGGAUACAAAUCUGAUUCGGCAAUUGUGAACCAUUGUGGCAUUUUAGAGAAGUUGCAAGUUGAUGAUAUAUUCCUGGCGGACAAAGGAUUUUGUAUAUUUGACAAACUUCCAAAUAACAUGACACUUAAUACCCCACUCUUUCUUACAAAUAAAUCCCACUUCUCAAAAGAGGAUGCAAAAUAUUCAGCUUUGUGUGGCCCAUGUGAAUUUUAGGUUCCCCUUUUGAAGGAGAUUGCAGAUAAAUCCUACAAACGUAUUAGAUUAAUUGCAUGUAUGUAUAUACCUUAAAUACCUGCCACAUUGAAUAUAAAAGUUAAAUGUAACAAGAGAUGUUUGUAAAACACAUAUGCCCCCCAUGGUGCAAAAUUGAAAAGGGUUAUACACACACAUCAUUUAAUUGAUAGUAGUAUCAUCAAUUCAAAAUAUUGAGCAGACAAUAUCUUCCUAUGUCAAGAGUGAAUUGACCAUGUGACCUAAAAAUCAAUAGGGGUCAUCUACUCCUUAUUUUGUACCAUUGUACCAAAUUUGGUGUCAAUCAAGCAAAUAAUUCUUAAAAUAUAGGUGACAAUAUAUUACUAUGUCCAGUUCAACUAUUGACGUUUGACCUCAAAAUCAAUAUGGGUCAUCUUCUCCUGAAGAUGUACCAGUGCACUACGUUUGAUGUCUGUCAAGCAAAAGGAUUAUCAAGAUAUUGAGUGGACAGUAUAUUACUAUGUCCAGUCUGACCCUUGACCUUUGACCAUGUGACCUCAAAAUCAAUAGGAGUCAUCUUCUCCUGAAUAUACACCAGUGUACUAAGUUUGAUGUCUAUCAAGCAAAGGGUUCUCAAGAUAUUGAGCGGACAGUAUAUUCCAAUGUCCAGUUUGACCCUUGACCUUUGACCAUGUGGCUUCAAAAUCAAUAUGGGGUCAUUUUCUCCUAAAGAUGUACCAGUGUACCAAGUUUGAUGUCUGUCAAGCAAAGGGUUCUCAAGAUAUUGAACGGACAGUAUAUUCCUAUGUCCAGUUUGACCUUUGACCAUGUGACCUCAAAAUCAAUAGGAGUCAUCUUCUCCUGAAGAUAUACCAGUGUACUAAGUUUGAUGUCUGCCAAGCAAAGGGUUCUCAAGCUAUUGAGCAGACAUUAUAUUUCGAUGUACAGUUUGACCCUUGACCUUUGACCAUGUGACCUCAAAAUC